RNAcentral lists this unclassified non-coding RNA (334 nucleotides) under soil metagenome. RNAcentral's name for it is "partial contains 5.8S ribosomal RNA, internal transcribed spacer 2, and large subunit ribosomal RNA". The stretch from base 1 to 120 matches the Rfam family "5.8S ribosomal RNA", at positions 35 to 154 of the family's 154-position model. The record is from RNAcentral.
GAUGAAGAACGUAGCGAAAUGCGAUAAGUAAUGUGAAUUGCAGAAUUCAGUGAAUCAUCGAAUCUUUGAACGCACAUUGCGCCCGCCAGUAUUCUGGCGGGCAUGCCUGUUCGAGCGUCAUUUCAACCAUCAAGCCCCAGGCUUGUGUUGGAGCCCUGCGGCUGCCGCAGCCUCCCAAAACCAGUGGCGGGCUCGCUGUCACACCGAGUGCAGUAGUUUACUCUUCGCUCAGGGCGUGUGGCGGGUGCUAGCCGUAAAACCCCCAACUUCUCAAGGUUGACCUCGGAUCAGGUAGGAAUACCCGCUGAACUUAAGCAUAUCAAUAAGCGGAGGA